This 538-nucleotide ribosomal RNA is filed under the name uncultured bacterium. Its description in RNAcentral is "bacterial SSU rRNA". It matches the Rfam family "Bacterial small subunit ribosomal RNA", at positions 777 to 1312 of the family's 1533-position model. The record is from RNAcentral.
AAUAGAUACCCAGGUAGUCCACGCCGUAAACGAUGUCAACUAGCCGGUUGGAAUCCUUGAGAUUUUAGUGGCGCAGCUAACGCAUUAAGUUGACCGCCUGGGGAGUACGGCCGCAAGGUUAAAACUCAAAUGAAUUGACGGGGGCCCGCACAAGCGGUGGAGCAUAUGGUUUAAUUCGAAGCAACGCGAAGAACCUUACCAGGCCUUGACAUGCAGAGAACUUUCCAGAGAUGGAUUGGUGCCUUCGGGAACUCUGACACAGGUGCUGCAUGGCUGUCGUCAGCUCGUGUCGUGAGAUGUUGGGUUAAGUCCCGUAACGAGCGCAACCCUUGUCCUUAGUUACCAGCACGUUAUGGUGGGCACUCUAAGGGGACUGCCGGUGACAAACCGGAGGAAGGUGGGGAUGACGGUCAAGUCAUCAUGGCCCUUACGGCCUGGGCUACACACGUGCUACAAUGGUCGGUACAGAGGGUUGCCAAGCCGCGAGGUGGAGCUAAUCUCACAAAACCGAUCGUAGUCCGGAUCGCAGUCUGCAACC